GAUGAACGCUGGCGGCGUGCCUAAUACAUGCAAGUCGAGCGAACGGACGAGAAGCUUGCUUCUCUGAUGUUAGCGGCGGACGGGAGAGUAACACGUGGAUAACCUAACUAUAAGACUGGGAUAACUUCGGGAAACCGUAGCUAAUACCGGAUAAUAUUUUGAACCGCAUUGGUCAAAAGUUAAAUACGGUCUUGCUGUCACUUAUAGAUGGAUCCGCGCUGCAUUAGCUAGUUGGUAAGGUAACGGCUUACCAAGGCAACGAUGCAUAGCCGACCUGAGAGGGUGGUCGCAUACCCGGGAACAGAGACUGGGUCCCGACUCCUACGGGAGGACGCAGUAGGGAAUCUUCCGCGAUGGGGGAAAGCCUGACGGAGCAACGCCGCGUGAGGGAUGAAGGUCUUAGGAUCGUAAAGCUCUGUUAUUAGGGGAGAAGAUAUGUGUAAGUAACUGUGCAGAUAUUGACGGUACCGAAUGAGAAAGCCACGGCUAACUACGUG
RNAcentral lists this ribosomal RNA (497 nucleotides) under uncultured bacterium. RNAcentral describes it as "partial 16S ribosomal RNA". It matches the Rfam family "Bacterial small subunit ribosomal RNA", at positions 28 to 507 of the family's 1533-position model. The record is from RNAcentral.